AAAUUGAAGAGUUUGAUCAUGGCUCAGAUUGAACGCUGGCGGCAGGCCUAACACAUGCAAGUCGAACGGUAGCACAGAGAGCUUGCUCUCGGGUGACGAGUGGCGGACGGGUGAGUAAUGUCUGGGAAACUGCCCGAUGGAGGGGGAUAACUACUGGAAACGGUAGCUAAUACCGCAUAACGUCGCAAGACCAAAGUGGGGGACCUUCGGGCCUCACACCAUCGGAUGUGCCCAGAUGGGAUUAGCUAGUAGGUGGGGUAACGGCUCACCUAGGCGACGAUCCCUAGCUGGUCUGAGAGGAUGACCAGCCACACUGGAACUGAGACACGGUCCAGACUCCUACGGGAGGCAGCAGUGGGGAAUAUUGCACAAUGGGCGCAAGCCUGAUGCAGCCAUGCCGCGUGUAUGAAGAAGGCCUUCGGGUUGUAAAGUACUUUCAGCGAGGAGGAAGGCGUUGUGGUUAAUAACCACAGCGAUUGACGUUACUCGCAGAAGAAGCACCGGCUAACUCCGUGCCAGCAGCCGCGGUAAUACGGAGGGUGCAAGCGUUAAUCGGAAUUACUGGGCGUAAA
Molecule: ribosomal RNA, 572 nt
Filed under: Salmonella enterica subsp. enterica serovar Kentucky
Lineage: Bacteria; Pseudomonadati; Pseudomonadota; Gammaproteobacteria; Enterobacterales; Enterobacteriaceae
Description: bacterial SSU rRNA
Rfam family: Bacterial small subunit ribosomal RNA
Source: RNAcentral